GCACAAUGAAAUUUAAAGAUGGAACUCUUAAAAUAAAUAAUAAGACAAUUAGUUAUAUAUAUGCAACAAUACACCUGAUAUUAAACAUACACAUUUGUACUCGAUCAAGACUCCAUUUUCCUAUACUCGAGAGACGGAAGACCUAGACUAAACAACCCUAAUCCUACCUUAUAUGUGUAUAGUUUUAUAUAUUUGUGGUUGUAAAGGUUGGAAAGCUAACUGUACCCUUGUAUUGACUCUGUGAAUAUUUCCUUUGUACAAGGGAAAAUCCCAUUUGUUAUUGCUUCCCUUGGCAAUCCUCACGUAAGUACAAGCAAGUUUGGACGUGCUUAAAAGUGAGUACUUUUUUUUCAUUAACAAAACUCGUUUUUCAAGUACUGCCAAACAUGUUAUUUAAACAUUUUUAAAGAGAGAUGAAUGUUACCACAUUUACAUCCAACGUCAUCGACGUUGAGUAUACUUGACCACUGAUGUUGAAUCAAUUGAGAAACAGUAGAAGGCAGCGGUAGAAGAAGGUAGUAAUCAAAGGAAGAAGAGAAGAAGCAAGAAUGAGGGAUUACAUAGAGGGAAAAGAGGGAGAGAAUGAGGGAAGACACGGAAGGUGGGCAACAACACAAAUAAUUUUCAUUCAUCAACUGAUUUUGAAUCCCAUUACAAUCAUAUUUAUAACAAAAUAAUAAAC
RNAcentral lists this long non-coding RNA (682 nucleotides) under Olea europaea (common olive). RNAcentral describes it as "long non-coding RNA (OEUR_LNC002810)". Lineage: Eukaryota; Viridiplantae; Streptophyta; Magnoliopsida; Lamiales; Oleaceae. The record is from RNAcentral.